UAGGUUCUAUGUGACGACAGUGGUGGCUU
This 29-nucleotide non-coding RNA is filed under the name Rattus norvegicus (Norway rat). The record is from RNAcentral. Lineage: Eukaryota; Metazoa; Chordata; Mammalia; Rodentia; Muridae.